This 1060-nucleotide ribosomal RNA is filed under the name Paraphysomonas imperforata. RNAcentral's name for it is "eukaryotic LSU rRNA". It matches the Rfam family "Eukaryotic large subunit ribosomal RNA", at positions 113 to 1213 of the family's 3401-position model. The record is from RNAcentral. Lineage: Eukaryota; Chrysophyceae; Chromulinales; Paraphysomonadaceae.
ACUGAAAAUCUUCGGAAUUGUAGUCUGUCGAGGUGAAGUCUGUUUUAUAAUAAUAAAGUAAAAUCUUUAAGAAAACUGUACCAUGGAGGGUGAUAGUCCCGUUUAUACUUUAUUAUAAUAAGACGUUAUGACUCAUCUUCAAAGAGUCGAGUUGCUUGGGAUUGCAGCUCUAAGUGGGUGGUAAAUUCCAUCUAAAGCUAAAUAUUGGUGGGAGACCGAUAGCGAACAAGUACCAUGAGGGAAAGAUGCAAAGAACUUUGAAAAGAGAGUUAAAGAGUACCUGAAAUUGCUGAAAUGGAACCGAUAGGAGAUAGUGUUAACAUAUAAAUAUUUUAUACAACUUGCAUGCAAGUUGUUGUGAUAUUGUAUGUAAGUUAAUCUUUUUUAAUGUUGUAAGAGAGGUAGUGAUGACAGUCGUAAGAUGUAAUCAUUUAUAACCAUUACAAUUUUUGAAAGACAUUAACAAAAUAUUUCUUAUCAACCCGUCUUGAAACACGGACCAAGGAGUCUAACAUGUGUGCAAGUACUUUAGGUUAAAUCCUAUAGUGCGUAAUGAAAGUAAACAUGUGGUAGGAUACUAUUAGAAAAGUUUCACUAUCGACCGACCAUGAUCCUAUGGGUGAAAGGUUUGAGUAUGAGCAUACAUGUUGGGACCCGAAAGAUGGUGAACUAUGCCUGAGUAGGAUGAAGCCAGGGGAAACUCUGGUGGAGGUCCGUAGAGAUUCUAACGUGCAAAUUGAUCUUCAAACUUGGGUAUAGGGGCGAAAGACUAAUCGAACCAUCUAGUAGCUGGUUCCUCCCGAAAUUUCCCUUAGGAUAGCUGCAACCGACUAUAAAUAAAUAGUUUUAUCAGGUAAAGCGAAUGAUUAGAGGCAUCAGGGGUGGAACGUCCUUGACCUAUUCUCAAACUUUAAAUGGAUAAGAUCGUUGUGUUAUUUAAUUUAAACACAUACGUUGAAUAACUGGUUGCUAGUGGGCCAAUCUGGGUAAGCUAGAUUGGCGAUGCGGGAUGAUCCGAACGUCAAGUUAAAGUGCCAAAAUAUUCGCUCACCUAGAUCCC